AACGGUCCUAAGGUAGCGAAAUUCCUUGUCGGGUAAGUUCCGACCCGCACGAAAGGCGUAACGAUUUGGGCACUGUCUCAACAACAGACUCGGUGAAAUUGUAAUUCCGGUGAAGAUGCCGGAUACCUGCGACAGGACGGAAAGACCCCAUGGAGCUUUACUGUAGCUUGACAUUGGGUCUUGGUACUACAUGUACAGGAUAGGUGGGAGGCUUUGAAACCAGGGCGCCAGUUUUGGCGGAGCCAUCCUUGGGAUACCACCCUUGUAGUACUGGGACUCUAACCAUAGGCCAUGAAUCUGGUCUUGGGACACUGUCAGGUGGGCAGUUUGACUGGGGCGGUCGCCUCCCAAA
This 352-nucleotide ribosomal RNA is filed under the name Clostridioides difficile. RNAcentral's name for it is "partial 23S ribosomal RNA". It matches the Rfam family "Bacterial large subunit ribosomal RNA", at positions 1944 to 2294 of the family's 2925-position model. The record is from RNAcentral. Lineage: Bacteria; Bacillati; Bacillota; Clostridia; Peptostreptococcales; Peptostreptococcaceae.